AAAUUUUUACAUUGCUGUAGUCUGUUUUAAAUGUUUUUAUUUUAAAAAUUAAGUAUGCAGAGUACCAAAAACUAUGAGGAGGAGGCGCAGCAUUCUCUCUUGAGCGUGGAGCCAGCUCUUGGUGUUGCUUCGCUGCAACUGCCAUUUGUCAUUGAUGAUCGUGCUUUUCUCCCUUUUUGGGUAAGUAAGAGGGAGAGGAUGCAGUCUGAGUGGU
Molecule: small nucleolar RNA, 214 nt
Filed under: Microcebus murinus (gray mouse lemur)
Lineage: Eukaryota; Metazoa; Chordata; Mammalia; Primates; Cheirogaleidae
Description: Small nucleolar RNA U3 (ENSMICG00000018035.3)
Rfam family: Small nucleolar RNA U3
About the family: Small nucleolar RNAs (snoRNAs) are involved in the processing and modification of rRNA in the nucleolus.
Source: Rfam by way of RNAcentral